Sulfurimonas sp. GWF2_37_8 is the source of this 134-nucleotide non-coding RNA. NCBI's taxonomy places the organism in Bacteria, Pseudomonadati, Campylobacterota, Epsilonproteobacteria, Campylobacterales, Sulfurimonadaceae. The record is from Rfam.
GUAGAGCUUUCGUGUGCCGGUGUUUUCGUUUGAGAUACGUUGACUCUGUCGAGAAAAUGUCGCCGUUAGAAAGUUCUUGCUUCGCCUAAAUACGGCUUUUAGAACUAAGCCAAUAACGAGACGGCUAUCUGGGU